UGAGUAAUGUCUGGGAAACUGCCCGAUGGAGGGGGAUAACUACUGGAAACGGUAGCUAAUACCGCAUAACGUCUUCGGACCAAAGUGGGGGACCUUCGGGCCUCACACCAUCGGAUGUGCCCAGAUGGGAUUAGCUAGUAGGUGGGGUAAUGGCUCACCUAGGCGACGAUCCCUAGCUGGUCUGAGAGGAUGACCAGCCACACUGGAACUGAGACACGGUCCAGACUCCUACGGGAGGCAGCAGUGGGGAAUAUUGCACAAUGGGCGCAAGCCUGAUGCAGCCAUGCCGCGUGUAUGAAGAAGGCCUUCGGGUUGUAAAGUACUUUCAGCGGGGAGGAAGGCGGUGAAGUUAAUAACUUCACCGAUUGACGUUACCCGCAGAAGAAGCACCGGCUAACUCCGUGCCAGCAGCCGCGGUAAUACGGAGGGUGCAAGCGUUAAUCGGAAUUACUGGGCGUAAAGCGCGCGUAGGUGGUUUGUUAAGUUGGAUGUGAAAGCCCCGGG
Molecule: ribosomal RNA, 504 nt
Filed under: uncultured bacterium
Lineage: Bacteria
Description: bacterial SSU rRNA
Rfam family: Bacterial small subunit ribosomal RNA
Source: RNAcentral